UAUAUAUAUAUAUAUAUAUAGGCCUACUGUUUAUAUUUUAAAAAUGCAUAGAACAUAAAGCUUAAAAAUUGAUCUUCAUGUUACAUGUAUAAAUAGGCCUGUGUACAUAUGUAAAAAUAUAUUUAAAAAAUAUAACCUAUUCAUGAAUCAUGUUAUGUAUAGUUUUUAACAAGAGACAAUAUUGUGAAACAACGAAUGUGAAAUGACUAUGAGUGUACACAAAGCAACACACACACGCACACACACACACACACACUGAUGCCUGGACGCUACUGUAUAUGCACACAAUCACAUAUUUAUCAAAACCAGCAAGUACACACAUAAUUCACCCACUCGACCAACAAAAAGAAUCAAAAUGUUUUUUGAGACUCCAUCCUAUCUUACAUUUUUUUCAUUCUGAUUGUCAUUGCUCAUUGUUUCAGUAUGUGUUCAAAAUCUUCAACGCUAGUUCACAUACUGUGUUUGAACUCUAUCUCAUAAUACUGUAUGGUUACAUUUUUUUUGUUGUUGUUCCUUCCGUCUUGUGCUCAAUGUAGUGGACAUGAAAAAAAUCUAAUAUAUUGUACAAUAAAAAUACUCCAAGCACGUUUUCAAAAAAUAUAAAGAAGUUCUUUUAAAGUUUCACUUUCUCAUUUUGCACGAAUGGGUCGAUAGAACUACAAAAUGCAUUUUAAAUUCAUGAUUUAAUAAUUAUUUAAUUAUUUUAAAUGAUGUAUUGUUUUAAUUAUAGAUGUAUUUAUUUACAUAAUGUUAUAAUUCUACAUGUUUAUGUUUGUAAAUGCUGCGUGACUGUGGCGUGUUUUAAUGCGCGUGCGCGUUGAACGUUCGAAUCGCUUUCAAACGCUGGAGCGGAUCUGAGUUGCCAUGGAAACGGGGAACCGUCAGGCAGCAAGACUCUCUCGCUGUUGUUUUCACUGAUUUUAGGGUCGACAGAAAACCCCCUCUACAACAAAGGGGAAGCUGACAGAGGAGGAGGAAACACAGAUCCUUCCAUGCAGAUGGCCUCCUGCACCCCAGCAGAGCUGAGUGACCUCCUGUCAAAGGCCAUGAACCAGAUGACUAUAGUAAGCAAAACCUCAAUCAUUCAGUACACUACUUUUGAAAAGUUGUGGGUCUGUAAGGUUUUUACCUGUUUUUGAAAGAAGUCUCACAUUCCUUGAAAGGCCUGUAGGCUAAAUAAUCAGCUAAAUGAGGUAACAUAGGUGACAAGUAUAAUGUUAUUAUGCUUGUAGUUAUAAUCAUUUAUUUAACUAUUAUGAUAACAGGAUAUCAUGGUCGUUAAUUUAUUUUAUUUUAUUUCUCUAGGUCUGUUUUGAGUUGUGUUUUCAAGUGAAGAGACGCCAUACUGUUCCACUCAAAGGUAUUUAUUUAUUUGUAUACGUGCAUGUAUUUUUUACUGAUAUAUUCUUAAAUACUUUUUACUUAUAAAUGCUGAUUGUGGUUCAGGGGGUCGACAACUUUAGGCAUGUAAGUUAUUUUUCUCAGAAAUUUGGCCAGCUUACUCAUUGCUCAUACUCUAUGCCUCUAAUAUGUUUGAAUUUAUAUCAUCAAUGCAAUAUCAGGGGGUAAAGAUAUCAUUAGAGUUCUUACAGUUAUGGCUGUACUCUUGUUACCAGAUGAGAUGUAAUCUCUAGCGUUUGGAGCUGUGAUUCUUCAGGACAAGAUGCCAUUCACACUUGAUACAUGAAGAUGCAGAUCACUGACAGGCUUUCCUGUGUAAUACUGAUUCAAGUUUUCCACCAUUGUAUUUAUCCAAAUGAGGAUCUCAGGGAUCCCCAGUUGAAGGCACCAGGACAUCAGAUGUUGGCCUGGAGUGGACAAAUGUACCAACAGUACACCACAAAGACCUCUGCUUUUAAAUGGAUGGCUGAUUACUACCAUGCUCUGUGAGGGUAUUACUAUAGCAAAACUGAGCACCUGUGAUAGUGGGAUUUCUAAUUUUAAAGAAUAGUCAAACAUCAGUAAAUUAUUAUUUAUUUUUUUUAUUAAAAAAUUUGAAAGAAUUUUUAAAAGUUGCAAACUUUUUUUCUCCAGUUACAAAAACAGCUGUUACACCUUUUCAAAUUCUUCAUUGGAGGUGCACAAAUCCUAUUUCACAAAUUAAGAAAUUCAUAUGCUCACAUUUAAGCCGUGUUCUUCGGACACUGUAACAGUCCUGAUAUGUCACACUUUGCAGCAUCUUUUUUAAUCACAUGAAUUCAAAUUUUAACAAACAGUAAUAUAUUCAAAAUGUAAAGAUAUACAAUCUGACAAUCUGAUCUUGUCAUUAUUAAUCAAUCAGUAAUCAACACCGCACCACCCUGAAAUUACAUGCACUGUAGAAGUAUGGUUUUGGCAAGAAAUGAACAGUAGCUAAAUAUUUAUUAUAAAUGCUACUAUUUGACAUUCAAUAUUUUAGUCUA
Long non-coding RNA from Megalobrama amblycephala (Wuchang bream), 2402 nucleotides. RefSeq lists it as uncharacterized. The transcript has 5 exons. NCBI's taxonomy places the organism in Eukaryota, Metazoa, Chordata, Actinopteri, Cypriniformes, Xenocyprididae. The record is from RefSeq and is a predicted model, not a curated record.